GAGGGAUCUUAUGGAAGGUGAAAUCAUAAACGUGACGUUGCAGAACAAUUACAACACAUAUAGUUUUGAUGGGAAGAAGAAGCUUGUGCUAUCGACAACAAGUUGGAUUGGUGGGAAGAAUGAUUUUUAAUACGUAUAGUUUUGAUGGGAAGAAGAAGCUCGUGCUAUCGACAACAAGCUGGAUUGGGGGAAAGAAUGAUUUUCUUGGCAUUGCUUAUCUUACAGUUGGUGGAUUGUGUUUCUUUUUGGCUUUGGCUUUUAUGAUUGUGUAUCUAGUUAAGCCAAGACAACUUGGAGAUCCAACUUAUUUGUCGUGGAAUCGGAAUCCAGGAGGUAACUAGCAUUCCAGAUGAGGCUGGUGGCUUGUCUUCUGGUAACUGUUUGUGUAAAAGUUGUUUUUUGAUGUGUUCUUGAUAUAGUUUUUAGACUCUUUUGCUAGGAAACAAUGGUAUGUAGUGAAGUAUAUUUCCUUUGAUAAGUGUUUAUUCAAAUUUACAUAUGUAUAAUGGAAGUUAUUGCUUAAAGGAGCAUAUGUAAUGAAGUAUAUUUCCUUUGAUAAGUGUUUAUUCAAAUUUACAUAUGUAUAAUGGAAGUUGUUGCUUAAAGGAGUUUGUUCAUUCAUGUCUUAAACUGGUUUGCAGGAUGUAAACUUUUUUGUGUCUUGUGAUAAUUGAAGGUGAGCCUUUGCUGCCAUGUGACCACGUGUUCGAGCCGUGAAAAUAGCCUCUUGCAAAAAUGCAGGGUAAGGCUGCAUACAAUAGACCCUUGUAGUCCGGCCUUCCCGAACAUCGUGUAUAGUGGGAGCUUAAUGUACCGGGCUACUCUUUAUAUAAGUUUCUUUUUGAAUGUUCUGCAUUCGAAGUACUGAGAUUCAUUUGCUAGCAAUCAAUGAUAUGUAAUGAAGUAUUCUUGCGUCUAGUGUUAACUAUCCGCAUACAAGUUUCUUAUUGAAAUGUUCUGCGUACAGUAUUAAGAUUCAUUUUCUAGCAAAGAAUGAUUAGUAAUGUAAUAUACCUCUGAUAUGUGUUUAUUUAAAUUUUAAGAGAAAAUAUAUUCUGAAAUAAGUUCACCAAUGGAAGUAAUUGCU
RNAcentral lists this long non-coding RNA (1087 nucleotides) under Nicotiana benthamiana. RNAcentral describes it as "long non-coding RNA (NBEN_LNC013087)". Lineage: Eukaryota; Viridiplantae; Streptophyta; Magnoliopsida; Solanales; Solanaceae. The record is from RNAcentral.